CGUAGGUGGUUCUGUGUGUCUACUGUGAAAGCGUACAGCUCAACUGUAUUGUGUCGGUAGAAACUGCAGGACUUGAGGCUGGGAGGGGCUGGUGGAAUUCCCUGUGUAGCGGUGAAAUGCGUAGAGAUGGGGGAGAACACUCGUGGCGAAGGCGGCCAGCUAGACCAGUUCUGACACUGAGGCGCGACAGCGUGGGGAGCAAACA
Molecule: ribosomal RNA, 205 nt
Filed under: uncultured bacterium
Lineage: Bacteria
Description: partial 16S ribosomal RNA
Rfam family: Bacterial small subunit ribosomal RNA
Source: RNAcentral